AGCUUUGCGCAGUGGCGAUAUCGUAACCAAUGAGGUUCUACCGAGGUGCGAUUAUUGCUAGUUGAAAACUUUUACCAAUACCCCGCCAAGACGAUGUGAAAUACCAUCGGCUACGGCAAUUUUUGAAAGUUUCUGCGGAAA
This 141-nucleotide small nuclear RNA is filed under the name Venturia canescens. Its description in RNAcentral is "U4 spliceosomal RNA". It matches the Rfam family "U4 spliceosomal RNA". From Rfam's summary of the family: U4 small nuclear RNA (U4 snRNA) is a component of the major U2-dependent spliceosome. Lineage: Eukaryota; Metazoa; Arthropoda; Insecta; Hymenoptera; Ichneumonidae. The record is from RNAcentral. RNAcentral also lists the same sequence under 8 other names.